Molecule: ribosomal RNA, 253 nt
Filed under: uncultured bacterium
Lineage: Bacteria
Description: partial 16S ribosomal RNA
Rfam family: Bacterial small subunit ribosomal RNA
Source: RNAcentral
UACAGAGGUCUCAAGCGUUGUUCGGAUUCAUUGGGCGUAAAGGGUGCGUAGGUGGCGAGGUAAGUUGGAUGUGAAAUCCCAGGGCUUAACCCUGGAACUGCAUUCAAUACUGCCUUGCUAGAGUACUGGAGAGGAGAUUGGAAUUUACGGUGUAGCAGUGAAAUGCGUAGAUAUCGUAAGGAAGACCAGUGGCGAAGGCGGAUCUCUGGACAGUUACUGACACUGAGGCACGAAGGCCAGGGGAGCAAACGGG